CGUACACUCCUACGGGAGGCAGCAGUGGGGAAUAUUGGACAAUGGGCGCAAGCCUGAUCCAGCCAUGCCGCGUGACUGAUGAAGGCCCUAGGGUUGUAAAGCUCUUUCACCGGUGAAGAUAAUGACGGUAACCGGAGAAGAAGCCCCGGCUAACUUCGUGCCAGCAGCCGCGGUAAUACGAAGGGGGCUAGCGUUGUUCGGAUUUACUGGGCGUAAAGCGCACGUAGGCGGACUAUUAAGUCAGGGGUGAAAUCCCGGGGCUCAACCCCGGAACUGCCUUUGAUACUGGUAGUCUUGAGUUCGAGAGAGGUGAGUGGAAUUCCGAGUGUAGAGGUGAAAUUCGUAGAUAUUCGGAGGAACACCAGUGGCGAAGGCGGCUCACUGGCUCGAUACUGACGCUGAGGUGCGAAAGCGUGGGGAGCAAACAGGAUUAGAAACCCGGGUAGUCCCAUGA
Molecule: ribosomal RNA, 454 nt
Filed under: uncultured organism
Description: partial 16S ribosomal RNA
Rfam family: Bacterial small subunit ribosomal RNA
Source: RNAcentral